GUGGAUGCCCUGGCAGUCAGAGGCGAUGAAGGACGUGCUAAUCUGCGAAAAGCGUCGGUAAGGGGAUAUGAACCGUUAUAACCGGCGAUGUCCGAAUGGGGAAACCCAGUGCAAUUCGUUGCACUAUCGUUAACUGAAUACAUAGGUUAACGAGGCGAACCGGGGGAACUGAAACAUCUAAGUACCCCGAGGAAAAGAAAUCAACCGAGAUUCCCCCAGUAGCGGCGAGCGAACGGGGAGCAGCCCAGAGUCUGAAUCAGCUUGUGUGUUAGUGGAACGGUCUGGAAAGGCCGACGGUACAGGGUGAUAGUCCCGUACACCAAAAUGCACAGGUUGUGAACUCGAAGAGUAGGGCGGGACACGUGGUAUCCUGUCUGAAUAUGGGGGGACCAUCCUCCAAGGCUAAAUAC
This 410-nucleotide ribosomal RNA is filed under the name Acinetobacter baumannii. RNAcentral's name for it is "partial 23S ribosomal RNA". It matches the Rfam family "Bacterial large subunit ribosomal RNA", at positions 24 to 473 of the family's 2925-position model. The record is from RNAcentral. Lineage: Bacteria; Pseudomonadati; Pseudomonadota; Gammaproteobacteria; Moraxellales; Moraxellaceae.